RNAcentral lists this ribosomal RNA (440 nucleotides) under uncultured bacterium. RNAcentral describes it as "bacterial SSU rRNA". It matches the Rfam family "Bacterial small subunit ribosomal RNA", at positions 338 to 769 of the family's 1533-position model. The record is from RNAcentral.
CCUACGGGUGGCAGCAGUGGGGAAUAUUGGGCAAUGGGCGCAAGCCUGACCCAGCGACGCCGCGUGCGGGAGGACGCCCUUCGGGGUGUAAACCGCUGUCAGGAGGGACGAACCCUUCCGGUGGGAAUACUGCCGGGAGCUGACGGUACCUCCAAAGGAAGCGCCGGCUAACUCCGUGCCAGCAGCCGCGGUAAGACGGAGGGCGCGAGCGUUGUUCGGAAUCACUGGGCGUAAAGCGCGCGCAGGCGGGUGUGCAAGUCGGAAGUGAAAUCCCGGGGCUCAACUCCGGGGCUGCUUCCGAAACUGCGGACCUGGAGACCGGUAGAGGUGGGUGGAAUUCCCGGUGUAGCGGUGGAAUGCGUAGAGAUCGGGAAGAACACCUGUGGCGAAGGCGGCCCACUGGGCCGGAUCUGACGCUGAGGCGCGAAAGCGUGGGGAGC